CCUACGGGUGGCUGCAGUGGGGAAUCUUGCGCAAUGGGCGAAAGCCUGACGCAGCGACGCCGCGUGAGUGAUGAAGGCCUUCGGGUUGUAAAGCUCUGUGGGGAGAGACGAAUAAGUGCGGGCUAAUACUCCGCAUGAUGACGGUAUCUCCUUAGCAAGCACCGGCUAACUCUGUGCCAGCAGCCGCGGUAAGACAGAGGGUGCAAACGUUGUUCGGAAUUACUGGGCGUAAAGCGAGUGUAGGCGGUUUGAUAAGUCGGAUGUGAAAGCCCCGG
RNAcentral lists this ribosomal RNA (275 nucleotides) under uncultured bacterium. RNAcentral's name for it is "partial 16S ribosomal RNA". It matches the Rfam family "Bacterial small subunit ribosomal RNA", at positions 338 to 606 of the family's 1533-position model. The record is from RNAcentral.